GAAAAUCUAGAGGAUAAAACUCCCUAUUUCUGUUCUGGAGUGCAUUGAUUUUCAGUACUCAAGGUUUACAGAAUUCCUGCCCUCCUGCUGUAUCCAUCAUUCCCCUCCACGCCUCCUGCUUCAUACCACCCAGCCUAGAAAUAGAAGAGGAAAGACAACCUGUGUCUCAUUCAUCAUGGAAAAGACUUGUCACAGUGAUGGACUGUCUUAGGUCAUUUGUCCAAACAUCCUCAACCUACUGUCUGUCGCCAAAAGAAGCUAUCACACCAGUUGGCUCAGAAGUGGCUUAGGCUCACCCUGGACCAUCACUGUGGCUAAGAGAUUCAUAAAAUUUGUGCUGGAGUUUCAUCUUUCAAGGAGAAAAGCUGAAGUAAUUGGGGAGCAGUGCUUCUGAGAGUUUCCAUCAAAAGAGGAGGAAAAUGAUUUACACCAUUAAGGUCACUUUCAAUCCCUUUUUGUGUGAUGCUCCUGUUCCUGUCUUGGAACAGGUAGAUUUUCUCCUGCGUCCUGGAAGACCUAACUGGAGACAUUACAGCAGCCCUAGCUGGCCGGGUAAGUAGUUCUGGAAUUGUCUGAGGCUGUGACUGAAAGGGGAUGGAGAUUCUUGAAGGUGAAUUUCAGAGAAUGGGGAUAAAGUCCCCAAAUCUGCCUCCCCACAUGCAGAGUCUGUUUGGGACAUCUGUAGCCUGGACAAGGAAGAUGUUGGAGAAGUGGUGGUCUUAGAAUUCUCCCUAAUUUAUGUAAACCUGAAGUUAGACCCUGCUUUGGAAUGUUCGGUUUGUCUUUUGUGUGUGUGUGUGUGUGUGUGUGUGUGUGUGUGGUACCGGGGAUUGAACUUGGGACCUUGUGAUUGCAAGGCAGACGCUGGCACCACUGAGCUAACCCCUGACCUUCACUUUGUCUUGAGUAGACUCCAUAGUGCAUGGUGCUGCCAUCAAUCAGACAUUCCCCUGGGGAGUGUCCAAAACUCCCUUCUCUGAGGCAUCUUAGGCUUCAGCCUACCUCACCUGC
This 1011-nucleotide long non-coding RNA is filed under the name Heterocephalus glaber (naked mole-rat). RNAcentral describes it as "lncRNA (ENSHGLG00100051989.1)". Lineage: Eukaryota; Metazoa; Chordata; Mammalia; Rodentia; Bathyergidae. The record is from RNAcentral.